UGCGGUGUGGAGAAGUCAGGAAUCUCGCUUGGCUCAUAACCAGGAGGUCGUUGGUUCGAAUCCAACCACCGCUACCA
Molecule: transfer RNA, 77 nt
Filed under: uncultured Gammaproteobacteria bacterium
Lineage: Bacteria; Pseudomonadati; Pseudomonadota; Gammaproteobacteria
Rfam family: tRNA
About the family: Transfer RNA (tRNA) molecules are approximately 80 nucleotides in length. Their secondary structure includes four short double-helical elements and three loops (D, anti-codon, and T loops).
Source: RNAcentral